CCUACGGGUGGCAGCAGUGGGGGAUAUUGCACAAUGGGGGGAACCCUGAUGCAGCGACGCCGCGUGGGUGAAGAAGCGCCUCGGCGCGUAAAGCCCUGUCAGCAGGGAAGAAAAUGACGGUACCUGAAGACGAAGCCCCGGCUAACUACGUGCCCGCAGCCGCGGGAAUACGUAGGGGGCAAGCGUUAUCCGGAUUUACUGGGUGUAAAGGGGGCGCAGACGGCGAUGCAAGCAAGGAGUGAAAGCCCGGGGCCCAACCCCGGGACUGCUCUUGGAACUGCGUGGCUGGAGUGCAGGAGGGGCAGGCGGAAUUCCUGGUGUAGCGGUGAAAUGCGUAGAUAUCAGGAGGAACACCGGUGGCGAAGGCGGCCUGCUGGACUGCAACUGACGUUGAGGCCCGAAAGCGUGGGGAGCAAACAGGAUUAGAUACCCCAGUAGUC
RNAcentral lists this ribosomal RNA (440 nucleotides) under uncultured bacterium. RNAcentral's name for it is "partial 16S ribosomal RNA". It matches the Rfam family "Bacterial small subunit ribosomal RNA", at positions 338 to 795 of the family's 1533-position model. The record is from RNAcentral.